RNAcentral lists this long non-coding RNA (572 nucleotides) under Monodelphis domestica (gray short-tailed opossum). Its description in RNAcentral is "lncRNA (ENSMODG00000034708.2)". The record is from RNAcentral. Lineage: Eukaryota; Metazoa; Chordata; Mammalia; Didelphimorphia; Didelphidae.
UGAAUGGGGGUAUUGCUUCAGCUUUGGGAUGCAGUCUGGGCUCAACAGGGUGCUUAACGAUAAGCUUUAAGCAAGACCCAAGUCAGUGAGGCCACUUCUGUGAUGCGAAGGAUCUGUCUACCCCAAACAAGCUCAGUCCCUCAGAUUGAGAACUCUAUUCAUUAAGUUAUUUUAACUCUUAGCGCAGCAUUCAAGCAGCCCAGAGGGAAAGGAAGCUCCCAAACUUCGGAUCUGAAAAGGCAGGAGCCAGGCUUGGGGGAAACACACUUACACACUGCACAUCAACAAACAAACAAAUGGCCGGCCAUCUGAGCCAGGCUGGUGCCUCUCUGGCCAAGAUGAACACAGCCCAUUCCCAGCUGGUGGCAGUUUGCUCCUGGAAAACUUGAAAUGAGAAGCUAAGGUAAAAAUCAAGGCCAACACAGCUCCUCAAACUUUCACCAAAUCCUUGUCCCCUAGAGCUAUGCUUUUCAACCUUUUCCACUUUGAGGCCCCCUUGUAAAUUUGUUUCAGCUCUCUGGCUCAGGAUUUACUGGAAAUAUAGGAAAAUGGCAGAGGGCCCUUAGAAAAAG